CUGCCACUGUCAGCCAACAGCAAGCAAACUUGCAACGCAACAACAGCAAUCAGCUGUAGCAAAUAGUCAACAACGCUCAAACGCUAACGCGCUGCAUAUUGUUGUUGUUGCUGGAUAUUUUUUGUUUAAGAUCAACGAUGCAAUUCAAUUCUGCGUUCAAUUACGUUCUAAUCGUUGGCGAGUAAACAACGUAAACGGAUAAAGAAAAGGCGCGUUUGUUCGGCAGCAGCACAAUUUCGCAGUUAAAAGUUACAUAAUUUGCUAUACAACAUUAUUACAACAAUAAAAGCAAAUAUUACGAUUCGAAAACAUUUUGUAUUUAGAUUCUUUGCAAUGGUUUUGCUGCGCGUUAUAAAAUAUCUUGUGGGUUGCGUUGUGCGUCUUUGUGAGGAGCUCAACCAGAAUAUUCUGUCAUGGAAAAUGCUCAAAUAUCGGGUGUUGCAUCAUGAGAGUUGACUGUUGAGGGCGCAAGGCGGCUGGCGUCAAGAAAUUCUACUUAGUGUACCACUACUUGUCGAUGACGAUCUGCUGAAUCUAUUCGAAGAUUUAUGAUGGCACUGUGGCAGUGUUGAAGUUCGUAACUUAAGUCUUUUGUUUUGGAAAAUGAAACUAACUGUAACAGAUAAUAAAUUGUUAAUGAUAAAUAAAUAUUUUUAUA
Rhagoletis zephyria (snowberry fruit fly) is the source of this 658-nucleotide long non-coding RNA. RefSeq lists it as uncharacterized. The record is from RefSeq and is a predicted model, not a curated record. Lineage: Eukaryota; Metazoa; Arthropoda; Insecta; Diptera; Tephritidae.